UGACGUGUUUGUGUGUGUGUGUGUGUGUGUGUGUGUGUGUGUUUUCAGUGUGGAGUAGAGAACAUCAGACGAGCAGAAUCUCUCAAUGGAAAUCCUCUGUUCUUCAGGGCGUUGGCUGAUCUGGUUCAGUCUCAUCUGAAGUCCAACGAGUCGUGUUCCCGUCAGCUGACCCUCCGCUGUCCGCUGUGUGUGAAUCCCACAUGUGGGCAGACCAAGGCCUUCUUCGCCAACCAGAAACCCUGACCUCUGACCUCUCAUCAGGACCAUUUAGGAGUGCAUUCGUUUAUGUGGUUUAAACCUGUAUGAUUGAGAUAUUGAGCUGAAAACACCAUUAAAGCAUCAUGUAGUUGAUGGAUAUAAUGCUGAAGUCAUACGUCAUGAAAUAAUAAUCAGAAAAAUUAAUGAAACUUUCAAACAUAAUAUAAAGAAUCUAAAAAAAAACAAGAAAAUGUGCGUGUGUUCUUUGUUGAUAUACAGUAUGAGAUGAUCUUGAAAUGCUUUGUUUUAUGUUCUGUAGUUUUAAAAUGUAUAAUGCAAUCAAGGAUGUUUGAGAGAUGAACAUAUUUGAUACUCUUCUAUUAAAUUAUGUCUGGAUAAUCAAGUAAACCCGCUUUAGUCCGUUUUCAAAAUGAAAAGAAAUAUUAAUAUAUAAAUUAUAUUGUGCAUAAAUAAAAUGACUCUAGUUAGAACAAUAGGAUUUUUUUUUGCAUUAUUUACAUGAAAAUUACAUGUCAUUUUCUGUUUAUUUAUUUAUUGUUAAUGAUGUGUCUCAACCUAAUAGAAAGACAGUAAAUACUACACUAUUGUGUAUGUGUGUAUAUUUAACUCGCAUUUAAAAAAUAAUUAUUAGAAUUAACAUUAUAUGUAUGAGUAUAUAGCCGUAUAUAUUUAUGAAACUUUUCAUUACAUUAAAUACAUUUUCAUUUGCAAAAUAAUGUCAAAAAUUGUUACUGGCCCUAAGAAUAAGUUUAAUUUCCUUUAUGCAAAAUAUAAUUGUGUGUGUGUGUGUGUGUGUGUAUGUGUGUGCGCGUGCGCUCUGGGGCCGCUGGAUCCUCCUGGUAAUUGAAAAGUGUAACGGCAGCAGCAGCUCUGUGACCUCUAAUUGAGAGAGAGCAUUGAUUUCUGCAGAGAGAGAGAGAGAGAGAGAGAAAUGGGGAUGAUGGAGCAGAAAGGAGAAAUGAACCAGUGAGUGAUUCUGUUGGGGAGAGACUGAUCAGAUGGGCGAUUGGAAAGGACAGAUGUGGUGAAAGACAGAGAGAGAGAGAGAGAGAGAGAGAGAGAGAGAGAGAUGAACGAGAAAUCACUUUUCUUCUCCAUGGACCUUUUUUAAACCCUAAAAUCUUGUGUUUGGCUCAUUCUACACCUCAUGUUCUGAGACAUGUCUUUAAUUUUAUUCAUUUAUUUAUUUUUUCAUGACAAAUUAUAUUAUCAUCAUCCACAUUUGAGCAAAAAUCAGUUGAAAAAUGUACUUCUUAUUUGAGAUGAUCCAAAGAAUCACCGUCAGUCACAUGAUAAUUGUUUAGUUUCAUGGCUUUUCUUUGUGUGAGUGUGUAAUAGGCUAAUCCUGGUUCUGAAACUGUUCUCCGUAUUUCUGUUGUUUCUGCUUCUCCGGUUUCUUUCAUCACGGAUCUUAGAUGAGAACUAAUAGUCUUGCUCUUUGUUGUCUCUACUCUCUCUAUCUGUAGUAAAAUGAUGACCAUCAUCUGGUCAAGAAGUGGUUA
Pimephales promelas (fathead minnow) is the source of this 1721-nucleotide non-coding RNA. The record is from RefSeq and is a predicted model, not a curated record. NCBI's taxonomy places the organism in Eukaryota, Metazoa, Chordata, Actinopteri, Cypriniformes, Leuciscidae.